Molecule: long non-coding RNA, 480 nt
Organism: Eurytemora carolleeae
Lineage: Eukaryota; Metazoa; Arthropoda; Copepoda; Calanoida; Temoridae
Exons: 3
Source: RefSeq, a predicted model, not a curated record
UCUCUCAGCCGUUGCUGCGAUCUCUCCGCCGUAGCUGCCAUCUCUCCGCCGUAGCUGCCAUCUCUCCGCCGUAGCUGCCAUCUCUCCUCAGUAGCUGCCAUCUCUCCGCCGUAGCUGCCAUCUCUCCUUGGAUGAAGUAGAACUACACUUCUUUCCAAACCUAACAGCUUGAAGAUAAAGCUGAAUUAUAAAAGAUAUCUCCCCUAUCAACCCUGAGUGCUAGAUCAAGUCCUGUAACCCUUUAAGCUGAUCUUACCUGUACCUUCUAUUCCCCAGUCUCUGUCGGGAUAACAAUAGUUGUGUACGAGAUAUGUUGGCUAAGAUCUAAAGAGCUGUUAACCUCCGGCCUAAUCAACUUUGUAAGUGCAUUUUUAAAUCACAUUAAUAUGUCAUGAAAUAUUCACAUUACACACCUGGAGCAAAUUUUAUUGGCUAACUAUACAUGUUUAUUAUUUUACGAUUUAUUUAAUAUUCAUAAUA